UACGUAGGUGGCAAGCGUUGUCCGGAUUUACUGGGCGUAAAGGGCGUGCAGGCGGUUUGUUAAGUUCAGGGUGAAAGCUCCCGGCUCAACUGGGAGAGGUCCUUGGAUACUGGCAGACUUGAGGAGGGUAGAUGAGAGUGGAAUUCCCGGUGUAGUGGUGAUAUGCGUAGAUAUCGGGAGGAACACCAGUGGCGAAGGCGGCUCUCUGGGCCCUACCUGACGCUGAGACGCGAAAGCGUGGGGAGCGAACCGG
RNAcentral lists this ribosomal RNA (253 nucleotides) under uncultured bacterium. RNAcentral describes it as "partial 16S ribosomal RNA". It matches the Rfam family "Bacterial small subunit ribosomal RNA", at positions 524 to 776 of the family's 1533-position model. The record is from RNAcentral.